RNAcentral lists this transfer RNA (75 nucleotides) under Chloroflexota bacterium. RNAcentral's name for it is "Chloroflexi bacterium (marine metagenome) tRNA-OTHER". It matches the Rfam family "tRNA". Rfam says of the family: Transfer RNA (tRNA) molecules are approximately 80 nucleotides in length. Their secondary structure includes four short double-helical elements and three loops (D, anti-codon, and T loops). Lineage: Bacteria; Bacillati; Chloroflexota. The record is from RNAcentral.
CGGGGCGUGACUCAGUCCGGCUAGCGCGCACCUUUUGAUUCGGUGAUGUCGGAGGUUCAACUCCUCUCGCCCCGA